RNAcentral lists this long non-coding RNA (1784 nucleotides) under Olea europaea subsp. europaea. The record is from RNAcentral. Lineage: Eukaryota; Viridiplantae; Streptophyta; Magnoliopsida; Lamiales; Oleaceae.
AUUAAAAUAUAUUUUCAAUAACUACACCACAACAAAUUUACAAUUAUACUCCUAAUUCAAUAAAAACUAAAAAUAAAAAAUAUGAAAUACAAUAUUGUGGUAUAGUUAUCAUCCCAAUAUCCCUCCUCCUUUUUCUCAUCUUUUUCCCCCUUCCUGGGUUUUUAGAAAAAAACACAAAAUUACUAGGAUUCUUGGGCUUUUUCAAGAUAUUGUGUUUUUCCAUCCAGAAACUCCAGAAUUCAGAAUCCAAACCUGAAUGCAUCUUUUUACCUAUCAUUUUCUCCAUCGUGAAGGAAAGUUCUAUCAGCUAAUAUCCAUCCCAAGAACCCCCAACUCUCUGAAAAUCAAAAGCCACAAGUGAGUUAAAUUAUUAAGAAGCGCUGAGAAAAAGGAUUUGUACCUUCCAUUGUAAGAAAAGAUAUUCUAAAUAUAUAGAAAGACAAAUGGAAAAGGAAAAAGUAAAACUUAAUUAGUCCAUGUACCAAAAGAUCAGUCUCCCGCCCCCCAAAUAUAUAUAAUUUUUUUUAACUACACUUGUGUUUGAUUCCAAAACAACAUCACAAUUUAUUUGUGCUGAAUUGAGCCAAAGAAAUAGAGAAACCCACAAAAUAAAUUUCACUGAAGAUUUACCAAAUAAUGAGGCGGAGAUGACUCCCCCAAUCCUAUGUCCCAUUUCCCUUCUCAUAUCCUAGUCGAAUCAUAAUCUUCAACAGUCAGCCAUAUGAAAAAGUUGCCAAUACUUGAUGUCAAAUUAGUGCCCUCAGGCUACAUUUGUAUUAUUCAAGAAGCAAUUAGAACAGUUUCUGCAACUUGCUGCAUCAGAAUGCCGACCAUUGGCUCGUAGACUUGCUAUGGAUUAAACACCACAUAUUUUUCUUCCUCGGGUCGAGCUCCUCGUACCCAAACUCUCUGCUAAUGGCGAUUUUCUUUCAUAUGACCUUCAGAAAAAAGGUAAUGUAAGUUGAUAUGAUUAUGGUGGCACGAUAAAUUGUUUUAUAUAAUAAAUAUAUUUAAAACCCAUUUAUGUAAUUUUACUUAUGACUAAAUAAGUAAAUAAAAAAAUGUGGUGUAACUACUAAAUUUUGUAGUGGUAAUAUAAUUACCCCUUUUUCUUUUGGAGCAUGUAAUGGGCAUGAUUUUAUGUAGGGACAAAAAAAAUUGACAUAUAUGUGUUUAAUACCAACGUUUUCAACUAAUACAUAGCCUCCAUUACAACUAAUCCCGUUCUCCAUCAAACAUAUGAAAUUUUUUCAAUCAAGUGGAAGAAAUCAAGAAAAGUAUCAAAAAUUGAAAAUCUUCAAAGUUUAGACCCUUGGAUUUCUUGAAAUUUAAUGUUCCUAAAACUAGUUUUAUAUGAUGUAUAAUUAUGUUGGAACUUAAAUGGUCAAGUGAUUUAUGGAGAAAAUUUGUUGAAGUGUGGUGAAUUUUUGAGAAUUUUUGAGAAGAUGUUGAAAUUGCCUUUGUGAAUGUGUGUGUGUGUGUGUGUGUUUGUUGUUAUUAUCACAAUGAAAAGGCGUUGCAAUGAUGAAAUAAAUGCAAAGAUCAAAUACAUGUUUGUUUAACCAAAUCACCUUCCUAGUGGCUACAGACAUAACCCAGUAUUUCGCGACUACCCAUAUCAAUGUUCUCUCCUUUGAAGUAGGUUUUUCUUGGCAUUCCAAAAAACUUACACACCUGUUCCAAUUUGGAAUUCUAGGUUCUUCAAUGAGAUAGUGGAAUAGGAGAAAGCUAAACCACACAUGUAUGAUGGGGUUGACACUGGGCCAUGGUGAGCAUGACUCGAG